CUCUUAUCCAGAGAGGUGGAGGGACUGGCCCAGUGAAGCCUCGGCAACCAUCAAAGAAACUCUUUGACACGGUGCCAAUUCCAGCAGCGCUCGCGCGCUGAAAGAUGAGAG
This 111-nucleotide non-coding RNA is filed under the name Aneurinibacillus sp. XH2. Its description in RNAcentral is "SAM riboswitch aptamer (S box leader)". It matches the Rfam family "SAM riboswitch aptamer (S box leader)". Rfam says of the family: The SAM riboswitch is found upstream of a number of genes which code for proteins involved in methionine or cysteine biosynthesis in Gram-positive bacteria. RNAcentral also lists the same sequence under 1 other name. Lineage: Bacteria; Bacillati; Bacillota; Bacilli; Caryophanales; Paenibacillaceae. The record is from Rfam by way of RNAcentral.